ACCUGUAUGAAAUAGUAAUUAAGCCAAUCAAAUGUAUAGAAAUAAAUUUUCUUUCUAUUCAAAAUCCAUGGAUCAAACUAUGACAAAUCUCCCAGAAUAGUAGUAAAAAUAACCACUCAUCACAAAAUGUAUUCAAUUAAACUAAUCUCAUAGUUAAAGAAAUGAAAAUACUUGUAGAGCCCUCCUACACUCUUACUCCUUCCCAAAAUCAAGUGCACCUGAAAAUAUUUACUAAUAGAAGUGAGUUCAAAAGCCUAAUAAGAGGUUGACAUCAAGUAAAUUUUUACUUUAGAAAAUGGAAUAGGGAAUAUUUAUAGCAUUAUUCCAAUCAUACAAAGUAAGCAUACAUAACAAAUAUUAUUUUCAAAACAAUAUCAAACAAAAAUUUUCGAUAAACAUGCAUAUAUAUUCAAGAAUUCUGGUUAUUAACAAAAAUACUCAUCACAGUAAAACUUUACCUCAAAUGUUUCUAACGUGUUGUAGGUUAAAUUUGAACUAAUAUAAUGGUAUGCUAUAAUUCACUAAGUACCCUACUUAUUGAAUUUACUCGAGUAAUAAAAGUCAAAAUAUUUUUCCUUAUUUAUUAGGGUCAGAGAACAAAAAUGUAUAUAAAAAAUAGAAUAUAAAUAAAUUAAAAAUAAUUCUCAAUUUUUUGUACUUCAACAUUAUCUGAACAAUUUUCAGAAUUUACAAAAGAAUAUACAUUAUCAUUCAUAAUUAAAAAUAUAUGUUCACAAUAACCCCUUGCUUGUUCUAAUAUCUUCAUUAAAAUAAAUCUAAGUUUAAGAUUUCUAAUUCCAAAUUCAUCUAAAUUCCACCAAUUUUUUUAUUUACAUAUUUUCCAUUACUUCUUCUUAGUUUUAAUUUUUUUUUCUUUGUUGAAAUUAAAAUGCAUCUCUUAUCUAAAGUUUAGAAAAUACACCUUUUUUACCUUAAAUCUGACAUGUCUGAUGUCACUACCCUUGAUUCUCUAGAGUGUAUGAAAGAGUUGGAUGACUAUUCAAUUCAAAAUGUGUUUUAAAGUUUCAGAUUGUUGUUAUGAUUUAUAUUUACUUGAAACAUUUGCAUCAUGAAGAUUGGAUUAAAGUAGGGUGAACACAUGCACAACCUAUCCAGCUCCAUCCAUCAAGUAGAAAUCCUCCACUUGUUCAAUAUACUAAUGGUGAAACCUUUGUACCUACCAUCAAGGUGUACCACGUUUGAAUAGAAAAUCCAUAGCCUUGCUCCCGAGUCAGGUGAAGUAAGGACAAAUAGCAGUGGAUAUUCCUAUUUGCCUCUUUUGAGGGAAAUUAUGUUCAUAUAAAUUCAAGUCGAGACAUCUCCAAACUAAUGGAUCUCUUUGCAUUGUGUUUCAAAUUGUCUUGCAAGCCAACAUCAAAAGAAGCAAUUCCUUCCACAAAACAACUUAAACAAUGGACAUUUAAAACUAUUCCACAAAUUAAACAGUAAAGCGUAAAGAAUUUGAGAAAAAGGAACCUAACCCUUGAUUCAUCAACCUCGCCAAAGGCUGGAGCAGAGGGGGAUCGAUCCAGAUUCUGUCCCCAUACAAACGAUUAUCAGGAUCAGAAGUACGAGGAUAAGCCAUUCUUUCCUCGGACACAGACCCGAUUCCCGGACUUAUAGGCCCAUAAGUGAUGAACGUUGUUGUGUUCCGAAGGAAAUGGUAAACCCUAUUUCGCGACUAUUUUUGUUUUCUCUCCUGCUUAAACCCCAAGGCAAGGAUUCCCAAGAAAUAUUGCGCCACCUUCCAAGCUUUCCAUUUUCAUCCAAACCCUAUCCAGCCAAUCAAACCUGAAUAUAUCGCACUUAGGCCUACAAACAUCUGACACCAUUUUCAUAAAUACUACUAUCAGACGUCCACCAUAUUCAAGAAAGUAACUCGGCC
Molecule: long non-coding RNA, 1885 nt
Filed under: Vitis vinifera (wine grape)
Lineage: Eukaryota; Viridiplantae; Streptophyta; Magnoliopsida; Vitales; Vitaceae
Description: long non-coding RNA (VVIN_LNC004480)
Source: RNAcentral